AUUGAACGCUGGCGGCAGGCCUAACACAUGCAAGUCGAGCAGAGCGGCGGACGGGCGGGUAAUUCACAGGUAUCUGCCUGGCCGUGGAGGAUAACGUCAGGACACGGGACCUAAUCCCACAUACUAUUAGAUGACCCUAGGUUGGAUUAGCUAGUUGGUGGGGUAAAGGCCUACCAAGGCGACGAUCCGUAACUGGUCUGAGAGGAUGAUCAGUCACACUGGAACUGAGACACGGUCCAGACUCCUACGGGAGGCAGCAGUGGGGAAUAUUGGACAAUGGGCGAAAGCCUGAUGCAGCCAUGCCGCGUGUGUGAAGAAGGUCUUCGGAUUGUAAAGCACUUUAAGUGGGGAGGCGUUACCAACAGAAUAAGCACCGGCUAACUUCGUGCCAGCAGCCGCGGUAAUUC
Molecule: ribosomal RNA, 407 nt
Filed under: uncultured bacterium
Lineage: Bacteria
Description: partial 16S ribosomal RNA
Rfam family: Bacterial small subunit ribosomal RNA
Source: RNAcentral